AGGAGUAUUAGAUCCCAAGAGACAUCCUUUGAAGAAGGUCCAAAUCAGUCUACUUUUGUACCAUUUUGGCACCUAAAAUGUGUCCAAACUUGCAACCUAAUAAGUCCUACUGGAAGUCACCUUUUUAUAACAUAAAAAGGACUUGCUUGAUGUAAAAGAAGGGUACAAUAAUCGUGCUAGAAGUUGAGUGCAAGUUGGUAUCAAGUUGUUUGUAAAUUUCCUUCAACAUUUUCAAGAUUUCCAAGUCCAAGAUUGAUUUUUGAC
RNAcentral lists this long non-coding RNA (264 nucleotides) under Nicotiana benthamiana. RNAcentral's name for it is "long non-coding RNA (NBEN_LNC001441)". The record is from RNAcentral. Lineage: Eukaryota; Viridiplantae; Streptophyta; Magnoliopsida; Solanales; Solanaceae.